GUGAGCUUCCUUUGCUCUGGUCUCCGCACACAUCCGGCGAGGCGCUGCUUGUUACAAUAGCCACUGUACAUUGCACCCCUGUGUGUAGUGGGUUGCUCGCGUUGAUGUGCCUGGAAUCACACUGUAUGCCUGACUGGACAGGAACAUGAGAACACAUGGAUGACUCUCCCUAUAGAAAAUUAGUGAAGCAGGGUGCCGUGCACAAUCCUGAUUUGAUGGAGAUGGACGUGAGAGCACGGAGGAACAUCUGGUGAAACUUCUGAAAUGCCUGCUUCGCUGGUGCUGCUACUGUGUGGUCCAAAAUCUCCGGAGGAGAAGGCCCCGAGUCCUCGGUGGCCGGGGCGGGGUCGAAGCGCUCGGCAGAAGAUGGUGCUCGGAGAGGCUGUGUCGGAACGGCUGGUCGGAGGCUCGAAGUUUUCAGACGGACUCAGAGUCCGCUGCGGUCGGGUGCUUCCAAUGUUGCUGCAUUGGUAAAUUGGCGGUGCUUGGAGGUUCAUGGCAGGGAGAGUUCCUCCCUUCUGCCGCCUGCGUGAGAUGAUGAGUCUAUCGGGACUUUGAG
Long non-coding RNA from Mobula hypostoma (lesser devil ray), 559 nucleotides. RefSeq lists it as uncharacterized. The record is from RefSeq and is a predicted model, not a curated record. NCBI's taxonomy places the organism in Eukaryota, Metazoa, Chordata, Chondrichthyes, Myliobatiformes, Myliobatidae. The transcript is spliced from 3 exons.